Molecule: ribosomal RNA, 252 nt
Filed under: uncultured bacterium
Lineage: Bacteria
Description: partial 16S ribosomal RNA
Rfam family: Bacterial small subunit ribosomal RNA
Source: RNAcentral
ACGAAGGUCCCGAGCGUUGUUCGGAAUCACUGGGCGUAAAGGGAGCGUAGGCGGCGCGGUAAGUCAGAUGUGAAAUCCCGGGGCUCAACCCCGGAACUGCAUCCGAUACUGCCGUGCUAGAGCGAUGGAGAGGUAGCUGGAAUUCACGGUGUAGCAGUGAAAUGCGUGGAUAUCGUGAGGAACACUCGUGGCGAAAGCGAGCUACUGGACAUCUGCUGACGCUGAGGCUCGAAGGCCAGGGUAGCGAAAGGG